Molecule: long non-coding RNA, 2388 nt
Organism: Magnolia sinica
Lineage: Eukaryota; Viridiplantae; Streptophyta; Magnoliopsida; Magnoliales; Magnoliaceae
Exons: 4
Source: RefSeq, a predicted model, not a curated record
CACAGGACACGAUGGCACCCGUGUCUUUUGGUCUAUCAAUGGAAGGUCAUUCUGGUGGUGUACGGAUGUAUAUCUAGUAGUAUAUGCUUGGAUGUUUGCCUCCACUAUCAAAAUUAUUUUCUUUAUCAACACUUUAACUAUCAUGGCCCAUGUUGCUUGCAUUUUUUUUGGCUAUGUGAACACUUGGAGGACUUUUUUGUGACAUGUGCAGGUUCUUUUUUAUUCUGUGCAGUGUGAUGUCCUGUUUUCAUUUUGUUUGCAUUAAUGUGGAUCCUUUGGGUGUUUAUAUAGAAAGUAUUGAGAGAUUCAUUUUUGAUGAAUUUUAUUGAUAAUAAAGCUGUGGUUUUUCUAAUGGAUGCAUCUUUUCCAUUAAACAGGUCAAGAAAACUGUUUACACUGUGUUGCAUGUUGGUGAUGUGAUUUGAUUGGGCCAGUAGAAAUUCAACUGUUUGUAUAGUGAAAUCAAAUUUUGUUCCUUGAUCAUCAUCAUCCAAGCCUUAUCUCAGAUAGGUAAAUCAGGAACUCCCAAUUGGUGCAUUCAUAUGCUUUUUUUCAAGGGCAAUGUCUUAGAAAGAAGACUAGUCACCAAACUCUUUCCAAUGAAACAUGUCUAAAUUGGAUUGGUUGGACAAAAGAAAGUGUGAAGUGGAAAUUGGAAAAUAUAAUUCUAAGAACAGAAAAUUUGUAACUACGUACAAUUUCAGUAGAAAAAACAUGUGAUUUUCUAAAGUUGACUCAACCAAGUUGCUCAUGUUUACCAAAAUCUUUUGAAUAUCCAGUUGAAGAUAGUCUUAAGAAAAAAGCAUAAAAAGAAAAGGAAAAAAAAAAACAACAACAACAGCAACAAUUGAAGAUGAGUUAACAAGUGAAGAAUAAAUCUAUAUGCUAAGGGCAAAAUCUUGAAUUAGAGUCCUCUCUAACCAAUCAAAGCACAUAAUAAUUCUAGAUAAUCAACUAGAGCUUAUCUAGCUUUAAGAAUUAUGAAGGAAAAAAAACCAUGGAUAGGUGAAUGUUUAUUUGAAACUAAUACACAAAUGUGGAUCUUUAGCCAGACAUGGGGUUGACUUAAUAUUUUUAGAGAUUCAUUUGUGUUCUUAAUAGCUAUUGGUUGAGCUAAUCUAGUAUGCUUCUCUCUCUUGUGGAUCUUUAGCCAGACAUGGUGCUGACUUAAUAUUUUUAGAGAUUCAUUUAUGUUCUUAAUAGCUAUUGGUUGAGCUAAUCUAGUAUGCUUCUCUCUCUUGUGGAUCUUUAACCAGACAUGGGGCUGACUUAAUAUGAGAUAUAGUUGACUCAAGAUAGGUAAUUGAUCACUACAUGUUCUCUUUAAUGUUGCAGACAGCUAUGACAUGAAUUUAUUACACAUGCUUCAUUUGUUAUUUCUUGUUCCUGCCAAAAGAAUAAUUAGAUUAAAACUUUACAUAUUCUUUUAUGGCUUUGACAUACCAGUGGCUCUAUAUGAGUAACUUUUAGUGAGUACUCUGUUUUCUCACCUCCUCUCUUUUUAAGGGAGUUCUCUUCUACUAGCACACAUCUAAUUCUUUAGUUUUAGAUAGUCUUUUCCUUAAUUUUAUCACGAUAUGCCAUUUGAAUUCAUUAGAGGCAUUUAUAAAUUUGAAAAUUUCCAUGUCUCUAGACUUUCUGCUAUCUUCAUCUUAGCUUUCAUUAGUUAUUAGGAGGAAGAUGUUAUGUUCUACUUUUGUAAUCUAUCCCAUGGGCUCAUGCACAAUCUUCUUUUUGGCAAGUAUUGGUGGGUAUAAAGUUCCAUGUUUCUCUUUACAAUUGAUGAAUUUUGGUUUAGGUUCUGCAAAUGUGUUUUUCUUUUGUGCUGGUUUAAUUAAUGACGACUAGAGGAGGUAUGGAUCAUUAGGCUUCAUGGUGGACAUGUCUGUAAUUUAUCAGUGAUGAACUGAUUAAAGCUAAGUCACAUUCUUUGCAAAUAUGCUGGAUUGAAAAGACACCUUCUAAUCUAUACACAUUUUUAAAAGGAUGGAGAUAAAUCUCUUGAUCCUAUCAUGGACAAUCCAUUAUCUCAAAAUCCAGCUCAUUCAUUACCUGUAAAAAUAACAUGUGAGGCCACUUCUUCUACAAUGCUGAGCUGGAGAAGAUGGUUGAUAAGGAUUUGUCUCAUUUGUAUCCAGAGCAUGGGAGCAACUUUAACAUGUCAGUAUGUCAAGCCAUGCUAAGAAGGAUAUUGUUGUUGUGGUGCCUAAUGGUAAUCUUGUUUUUGUCCUCAGUUUACGUUGGAGCAAUACAAACAACGUGCCUUAAUGGGAUCUCCACAAGGAGUUACGGACGUAUAAAGAAGCUAUUCUUCUUCAGAUAGGAAUUCCUGGUGGUGCAGCAUCAGGGAAGACUACUCUCUAUGACAUGAUCAUUGAGCAACUUCAU